RNAcentral lists this long non-coding RNA (899 nucleotides) under Monodelphis domestica (gray short-tailed opossum). RNAcentral's name for it is "lncRNA (ENSMODG00000032161.2)". Lineage: Eukaryota; Metazoa; Chordata; Mammalia; Didelphimorphia; Didelphidae. The record is from RNAcentral.
ACACACACCCCUUUAUUAUGAUGGCUGGUUCGUGUUGCUAUAGUAACCCCUGGCCUCUUAGGACACCGAUGGUUACACAUGACAAUGACGAAAAUAUCAGGUUACAAGGGCAGACAGCAGGGUAAAACAUCCUGUGCCUCGGACACCCAAUGCCCCGGAACAGAGCGUCCCUCCUCCGGCUUUGGAAGGAGAGCGCGGGGCUGAGGGGAGGGAAGGGAGGAGGAGAACAUCCCAGAACAUCGCAGGACUACCAGUGAUGGGCUUCUCUCUACUGAACAAGUCUGGUCCUCAUUCAGCAAAGGAUCCUUCCCACCUUUCAUCCAAGGAUUCCUAACCUUUCUACAGUGAUUGAACCUACUACUUAGCUUAUAAUCUGUUUGCAUAGUCUCAAGAACCCAGGGUCACUUCCAUUUCAAGAUGACAUGCUCUACAUCCUAUAUUCUAGAAGAAUUGAAGUAGCAAUGGGAUUCCAAAUGUCCUUCACCAUCCCCUGCUGUGGAUGCAAACCUCAGCCUGUCCUCCAGGCUCUAUCUCUCAAAGUCGGGAUCAUUCCUCUAUCACAGAUGUGGAAGGCAAAGGAGAAGAAAGGAGAAAGGUUAGAAGAGUGCUGAGAAUUUUGAAAACCAACUUCCCAGAGCCAAAAAGAGGAGUGUUGUUGGAGCGGCAGGUAAGCCUUGCUCCAGCCUCUUGAAGUGAAGAGAGAGAUCUUAUGACUCCAAACUGAAGGAGAAGCAAGGGACUGAACCAUGGUACAGGAUAGCAAAAUUGACCCUCCCUUUCACCAUUAAAUUCCAACCAAAAUUCAUUUUCAUGAGUCUUUCCCAAUUUCUCUUUGUUAUAAUGUUUUCUCUCUUUUAUUUAAUUUCUAUUUGUCCUGCAUACAACUCAUUUGUACAUAU